RNAcentral lists this long non-coding RNA (2257 nucleotides) under Macaca mulatta (Rhesus monkey). RNAcentral describes it as "lncRNA (ENSMMUG00000061650.1)". Lineage: Eukaryota; Metazoa; Chordata; Mammalia; Primates; Cercopithecidae. The record is from RNAcentral.
UCACUGUUGUGAUUUCUGUCAUUGGUCUCAUACUUAGAAGGAUGAACCCAUUCAUAGAUUACGGAACUACUUGCCUACAUUUUCUUCUAGUUCUUUUAUCAUUUUAUCUCAAAUCUGCAAUUUACUUUGGUGAUAGGUUUUAUUUCAGGAUACAAUUGUAAAAUAUUAUGUUCUAAUUUAUAUUUGUAAAACAACUAUUAGGAUGGUUAAUGACCAAUUCUGCUGUACAUUUGCAAUCAUCCUGUCUACACCAGCUAAACACUGUUAUCUACAUGUGGGCCUGGGACUCUCUGUGAUCAUUACUAUUUAAUUGCUUAAAAACCAGAGUAGGCCUGGGGGUUCACAUACAUUAAGAAUGAGGACCAUCACUGUAAUGCUGGCUGGCACGUUCAGAUUUCUUUCUUUUCUGGUUUGGAUUCGCAAACACUUGAAAGUAUACUCAUGUUUUGUUUUGCUGGAGUCCUGUGAGAGUUAGUGUAUGUGUUCCAGUCACCGGCCAAAGUCUGUAGUUGGUGAGAAAAGCUGUCCUGGGGGAAUGGUGAGAAGGAGCGGGUGAGUGACUCUCUCUCCAGACAGUACCUUUCAGCCUCUAUUCCAAGAUGCUCACAGCUGGGUAGAUUGCUGAGUCCGAUACACCUCAGAGCACAAGCUGCCCUUCCCGUGCAUUGACGGUCCCUGAAUGCCAUCAGCUGCUCAACAGGUUGCUUCGUACGUUAGAGUGAAACUUCAACUUUUCUUUUUCUUUCUUUUGCAGAGCUUCAAACGUGAGAACACAUUCCAGUUGCAGGAUCAGAGGACUUUUCCUACAGCACGUUCCUGAGAGGCCCACCCAGAGCCUCAUCAGAAAUAGCAGACACGCCUGAAAUUUGCGGUCAACACUGAGACUCAAGCUAGAACCUCGGCUGCUCUUUCCACAGAUGAUUGUGAGUGAGCAAACAGGCACUGUUAGUCUAGCUUGUGAUGCCACCAGAACCUGAGUUUCCUUUGGAUCACUGACCCAGGCCACAACAUGAGCCCUGGCCACCAUUGCCGUGUCCACUGCUGCAUCCCUAGCUCCUGGUCUGUUGCUUAGCACAUAGGAACUACUCAGCAAAUAUUGGUUGCAUGCAUAAACUAAGGUUGAGAAAGAGGGCUGAAACAAUGGAAUAAGGGAUUUAGGUUAAAUUUAGGAUUUACAAGUGAGGCAGGAGAGUUAACAAAUGCUAUAUUUUUUCUUGCCAUUGCUUUAGCACGAAAAACCUUUUUAUCUUUGUGUUUUCAACCUAGAGGAACUCCAGUCUUUAUCUGAAAGGGAAAAAUGAAUUCAGCCCCUAGGAUUAGUUCUUCAGUUUAGUGAUGCAUAGGUGAUCUUCAGGUUUCUAUUUCUUUUCUUUUCUUUUUUCUUUUUCUUUUUUUUUGAGACGGAGUCUCGCUCUGUCGCCCAGGCUGGAGUGCAGUGGCGCAAUCUCGGCUCACUGCAAGCUCCACCUCCGGGGUUCAUGCCUUUCUCCUGCCUCAGCCUCCCAAGUAGCUGGGACUACAGGCGCCCGCCACCAUACCCAGCUAAUUUUUUUUGUAUUUUUAGUAGAGACGGGGUUUCACCGUGUUAGCCAGGAUGGUCUCAAUCUCCUGACCUCGUGAUCCACCCACCUCGGCCUCCCAAAGUGCUGGGAUUACAGGCGUGAGCCACUGCACCCGGCCUCAAGUUUCUAUUUCUGUUCCUCCCUCUGUAAAGCUGAUUUCUUUCAAAGUUCCUUUCAAAUGAAAGAUCACAUUUCCCUUUAGACGUGACUCUAGGUCUCUAUAUUUAUUAUCAAGCUUAAUUAAAAAGUAACACUCCAGGCUCCUGAAGUGUUCUAGUUCCUCCUUGUAGGAAGUUUAAAUAUUUGAUUUUUCUCUCUCUAAUUCCUCCGUAUCUAAUAAGUGAGUGUUGGUCAUAACACUGCAUGCAAAUCAGGUCCCUUCCACGUGUGAAUUCUAGCUCUGGAAACAAGAGUGAAUACGUGUACUGUGGCAUAUUGUCAACCAGGUUGUCUAGAGCUUUCUAGAUAAUUCUGUACAAACUUUUUACGACGUGACAUUCAUCACUUCUGAUAUUGUCAAGAAUAGUUCAGUUUGAAUUCCUAUUACUGACUCUUUAUUCUCCCUUUUAAAGUAUAUUAAGUAAAAGACAGUUUUCAAGAUAAUCAUGACAGGAACUGCCCUCUGUAUUAAUAGCAUUUACAUGACAGUAUUUGCAUUAUUGAUAUUUUGGGUAUAUUCUAUGUAUCAAGAAUGG